Caenorhabditis elegans is the source of this 21-nucleotide non-coding RNA. NCBI's taxonomy places the organism in Eukaryota, Metazoa, Nematoda, Chromadorea, Rhabditida, Rhabditidae. The record is from Ensembl.
UGUUUCAACCGCUUGUUAGGG